CCAUUUUCCCAAAAAAACACCCAUUUAUCCUCAAAAAACACCUCUUCCCCCCCAAAAAAACCUGACAUCCUCCUCCAGAAUUCCAUCUUUUCCAAAAUAAAAAUUAUUUUUCCCCCCAAAAAAAAACCCUCUUGAGCUCCAGACCCUCCUGUUUUACCCCAUUCCUGCUGGUUUUUUCCAAUUUUCCCCAUUUUUUCCCAUUUUCCCCAUUUUUCCCCAUUUUCCUGCUGGUUUUUUUUCCAUUUUCCUGCCUUUUUUCCUCAAUUCUCCCAUUUUUUAUUUCAUUUUUCUGUUUUUUCCUAAUAUUUUUCCUAUUCUCCUGCUGUUUUCUCCAAUUAUCUUCCAUUUUUUAUUAUUUUCCCUGCUUUCCCCAUUUUUUCUUUUCCCAUUUUCCUGCAAUUUUCCCCAUUUUCCUGCAAUUUUUCCCCAUUUUCCUGCAAUUUUCCUCCAUUUUUCUGCAAUUUUCCCCAUUUUCCUGCCAUUUUUCCCCAUUUUCCUGCAAUUUUUCCCCAUUUUCCUGCUCUUUUUCCCCAUUUUCCUGCUGUUUUUCCCCAUUUUCCUGCAAUUUUCCCCCAUUUUCCUGCAAUUUUCCCCCAUUUUCCUGCAAUUUUCCCCAUUUUCCUGCAAUUUUCCCCCAUUUUCCUGCAAUUUUCCCCGUUUUCCUGCUGUUUUUCCCCAUUUUCCUGCUGUUUUUCCCCAUUUUCUGCAAUUUCACCCAUUUUCCUGCAAUUUUUCCCCAUUUUCCUGCAAUUUUCCUGCAUUUUUCUUAAAUUUCCCCCAUUUUCCUGCUGUUUUUCCCCAUUUUCCUGCAAUUUUUUCCCAUUUUCCUGCAAUUUCCCCCAUUUCUCUGCUCUUUUUCCCCAUUUUCCUGCAAUUUUCCCCAUUUUCCUGCAAUUUUCCCCAUUUUCCUGCAAUUUUUUCCCAUUUUCCUGCUGUUUUUCCCAAUUUCCCGCUGUUUUUCCCCAUUUUCCUGCAAUAUUUCCCCAUUUUCCUGCUGUUUUUCCCAUUUUCCUGCAAUUUUUCCCAUUUUCCUGCAAUUUUCCCCAUUUUCCUGCAAUUUUUCCCCAUUUUCCUGCAAUUUUCCUCCAUUUUUCUGCAAUUUUCCCCAUUUUCCUGCCAUUUUUCCCCAUUUUCCUGCAAUUUUUCCCCAUUUUCCUGCUCUUUUUCCCCAUUUUCCUGCUGUUUUUCCCCAUUUUCUGCAAUUUCACCCAUUUUCCUGCAAUUUUCCCCCAUUUUCCUACAAUUUUCCCCCAUUUUCUGCAAUUUCCCCCAUUUUUCUGCAUUUUUUCCCCAUUUUCCUGCAAUUUUCCCCAUUUUCCUGCAAUUUCCCCCAUUUUCCUGCUGUUUUUCCCCAUUUUCCUGCUGUUUUUCCCCAUUUUCCUGCAAUUUUCCUCCAUUUUCUUGCAAUUUUUCCCCAUUUUCCUGCAAUUUUCCCCCAUUUUCUUCAAUUUCCCCCAUUUUUCUGCAAUUUUCCCCAUUUUCCUGCCAUUUUCCCCCAAUUUCCUGCAAUUUUUCCCCAUUUUCUGCAAUUUUCCCCAAUUUUUCUGCAAUUUUCCCCAUUUUCCUGCAAUUUUUCCCCAUUUUCCUGCAAUUUUUCCCCAUUUUCCUGCUGUUUUUCCCCAUUUUCUGCAAUUUCACCCAUUUUCCUGCAAUUUUCCCCCAUUUUCCUGCAAUUUUCCCCCAUUUCCUGCAAUUUCCCCCAUUUUCCUGCUGUUUUUCCACAUUUUCCUGCUCUUUUCCACGUUUUCCUGCUGUUUUUCCCCAUUUUCCUGCUUUUUCCUCCUGUUUUUCCCAUUUUCCUGCCGUUUUUCCCCAUUUUCCUGCCAUUUUUCCCCAUUUUCCUGCUGUUUUUCCCCAUUUUCCUGCAAUUUCCCCCCAUUUUCCUGCUGUUUUUUCCAUUUUCCUGCAAUUUUUCCCCAUUUUCCUUCAAUUUUCCCUCAUUUUUCUUCAAUUUCCCUAAUUUUCCUGCAAUUUUCCCCAUUUUCCUGCUCUUUUUCCCCAUUUUCCUGCUGUUUUUCCCCAUUUUCCUGCUGUUUUUCCCCAUUUUCCUGCUGUUUUCCCCAUUUUCCUGCAAUUUUUCCCCAUUUUCCUGCAAUUUUCCCUCAUUUUUCUUCAAUUUCCCCCAUUUUCCUGCAAUUUUCCCCAUUUUCCUGCUCUUUUACCCCAUUUUCCUGCAAUUUUCCCCAUUUUCCUGCAAUUUUCCCUCAUUUUUCUUCAAUUUCCCCCAUUUUCCUGCUGUUUUUCCCCAUUUUCCUGCAAUUUUUCCCCAUUUUCCUGCAAUUUCCCCCAUUUUCCUACUGUUUUUCCCCAUUUUCUGCAAUUUCACCCAUUUUCCUGCAAUUUUCCCCAAUUUUCCUGCAAUUUUCCCCAUUUUCCUGCAAUUUCCCCCAUUUUCCUGCUGUUUUUCCCCAUUUUCUGCAAUUUUCCCCCAUUUCCCUGCUGUUUUUCCCCAUUUUCCUGCUCUUUUUCCCAUUUUCCUGCAAUUUUCCCCCUUUUUCCUCCUGUUUUUCCCAUUUUCCCGCUGUUUUACCCCAUUUCCCCCCCGUUUUUUUUCCAUUUCCCCGCUGUUUUUCCCCAAAACCCCCCCAAUUUUUCUUCCUUUCCUGUUUUUUGUCCCGAUUUCCCCAUCUUUGUCCCCGUUCCAGAGCUGCUGGCCUCCUACA
Cyanistes caeruleus (blue tit) is the source of this 2663-nucleotide long non-coding RNA. NCBI's taxonomy places the organism in Eukaryota, Metazoa, Chordata, Aves, Passeriformes, Paridae. The record is from Ensembl.